UGCCAGCAGCCGCGGUAAGACGAAGGGUGCAAGCGUUGUUCGGAAUCACUGGGCGUAAAGCGCACGUAGGCGGCUACGUAAGUCGGAUGUGAAAGCCCAGGGCUCAACCCUGGAACGGCAUCCGAAACUGCUUAGCUUGAGUCCCGGAGAGGAUGGUGGAAUUCCAGGUGUAGAGGUGAAAUUCGUAGAUAUCUGGAGGAACAUCGGUGGCGAAGGCGACCAUCUGGACGGUGACUGACGCUGAGGUGCGAAAGCGUGGGGAGCAAACAGGAUUAGAUA
Molecule: ribosomal RNA, 279 nt
Filed under: uncultured bacterium
Lineage: Bacteria
Description: partial 16S ribosomal RNA
Rfam family: Bacterial small subunit ribosomal RNA
Source: RNAcentral